RNAcentral lists this ribosomal RNA (723 nucleotides) under Salmonella enterica subsp. enterica serovar Anatum. RNAcentral's name for it is "partial 23S ribosomal RNA". It matches the Rfam family "Bacterial large subunit ribosomal RNA", at positions 579 to 1298 of the family's 2925-position model. Lineage: Bacteria; Pseudomonadati; Pseudomonadota; Gammaproteobacteria; Enterobacterales; Enterobacteriaceae. The record is from RNAcentral.
GGCUUAGUGGUGGGGUGACUGCGUACCUUUUGUAUAAUGGGUCAGCGACUUAUAUUCUGUAGCAAGGUUAACCGAAUAGGGGAGCCGGAGGGAAACCGAGUCUUAAUUGGGCGUUAAGUUGCAGGGUAUAGACCCGAAACCCGGUGAUCUAGCCAUGGGCAGGUUGAAGGUUGGGUAACACUAACUGGAGGACCGAACCGACUAAUGUUGAAAAAUUAGCGGAUGACCUGUGGCUGGGGGUGAAAGGCCAAUCAAACCGGGAGAUAGCUGGUUCUCCCCGAAAGCUAUUUAGGUAGCGCCUCGUGAAUUCAUCUCCGGGGGUAGAGCACUGUUUCGGCUAGGGGGCCAUCCCGGCUUACCAACCCGAUGCAAACUGCGAAUACCGGAGAAUGUUAUCACGGGAGACACACGGCGGGUGCUAACGUCCGUCGUGAAGAGGGAAACAACCCAGACCGCCAGCUAAGGUCCCAAAGUCAUGGUUAAGUGGGAAACGAUGUGGGAAGGCCCAGACAGCCAGGAUGUUGGCUUAGAAGCAGCCAUCAUUUAAAGAAAGCGUAAUAGCUCACUGGUCGAGUCGGCCUGCGCGGAAGAUGUAACGGGGCUAAACCAUGCACCGAAGCUGCGGCAGCGAACGUAUCACUUAAAGCGAUUCAGCGGGUUACGAUUGACGGAGCGAAGCGACGUCAAAGCGUAUACAAAGUCGAGUCGGUUUAAGGAUACGUU